AAUCAAACACUAAAAAUGCUAUCCUGCAAAAGAGGAGCUUCUCUUUGGUUCUGUUGUUAAAUAGCAUUUAAAUUCAAAUCACCGCAUUUGUUGCUGUUUUAGAAGAGCACGAGUCUUCCCUGGUGCAAGACUGAAACAAUGUUUGCAGAUAAGAAUAUUCUGUACAAACCCCAGGGUGAUAACAUUCCACUAUUACAACAGUAAAGGUGGUACAUGAAGGCAUCAUUUUUAAAUUGCACACACUCCUCAAAGAUUGUUUGAAGGCUUAAGCAAAAAUUGGAUUAGUUGUAUUUACUUUGUUUAGGAGUAUUUCUACUGAUCUAUAGAUCUCUAAUGUAUGGUAUGACAGAAUUUGAUAGUUGACCCUGCAUGUUUUGAGAAAGCAGACUUGCUGUUUCUCUCUUUACUGUCUACUGCAGCAACAUUGUUUCAGAAAAUGCACCGGGCUGAUCGAGCAAAAAUGUAAAGUAAGUGACUGACUACUGUUACAACUAAUACUUUGGCCGAAUGGCUGUUUGGUUUUGUGCAUGCAAAGUUUUUCUUUUACAACAGAGACUUUUACCUCUUUGUUUUUGAAAAUUCGUUCCUCACAUUCUUUCUCCCUGCACAGCUUCUGAUUGAUGGCAUACUGGGAACGUUAGUGAUCUUUCUGGUGCUGGAACUGCUGAUCUGCAUUACCACUAUGCUGUUUGAACUCAGUGUCUUAGCUGCAGGUGGCAAACAGCGGACUUCAAGCCAUAGACCCACCUACCCACAGACUCGCCCCCCAGCAGCUCCAGCCGUGCAAGUUGUUCAGACCACGGUGGCAGAAGCUGAGCCAUCCCAGGUACCACAUGUUCACGGGGGUCUCCACUGAAACAAACUACACAGAAACAGUACUAUACUCACUUUGCUUUACACGUUUUGGCUGCUCAAGGUGCACCCUUAAAUUAAAAAUCUACACCUGAAUUGAGUUAAAGCAGGUGAGAGCUUCUCAUCUAAAAAUGUUUAAGAUGCUUUUUGUUGGGAUUUAUGAUAAUAACAACAAUAAUCUUUAUUUUAUUAGGAAAAAGGUUCGUCUCAUGUACUCAUGGCUUGGCUCUGUUGUGAGGAAACAGCAUAUUUAGAAUCCAUUCAUUCAAUAAGCCAGGUCAGCCACGAAAACAAAAUUCCUUUAAAAAACAUGUUAAAAUCCAAGGAUAGAUGUAGCAAAUGAGUCCCGCGCUUCAUCUAUGCUUUUAUUUUACCAAAAUUUAGAGUAACGUCACUCCCAGCUCCAAACAGGUCAAUCCCAGUUAAAGGUAGACAAGUCAAACUCCAGUCUUUGAGAACAUUCUGCUUUUUUAUUUUC
RNAcentral lists this long non-coding RNA (1330 nucleotides) under Oryzias sinensis (Chinese medaka). RNAcentral's name for it is "lncRNA (ENSOSIG00000000023.1)". Lineage: Eukaryota; Metazoa; Chordata; Actinopteri; Beloniformes; Adrianichthyidae. The record is from RNAcentral.